AGGCAGCAGUGAGGAAUUUUGCGCAAUGGGGGAAACCCUGACGCAGCAACGCCGCGUGAGUGAUGAAGGCCUUCGGGUCGUAAAGCUCUGUCAAGUGGGAAGAACCUGCCCUGUGCUAAUAUCACCGGGCAUUGACGGUACCACUGAAGGAAGCACCGGCUAACUCCGUGCCAGCAGCCGCGGUAACACGGGGGGUGCAAGCGUUAUUCGGAAUCACUGGGCGUAAAGAGCGCGUAGGCGGUCUCUUAAGUCAGAUGUGAAAGCCCGGGGCUCAACCCCGGAAGUGCAUUUGAAACGAAGGGACUUGAGUAUGGGAGAGGGAAGUGGAAUUCCUGGUGUAGCGGUGAAAUGCGUAGAUAUCAGGAGGAACACCGGUGGCGAUGGCGACUUCCUGGACCAAUACUGACGCUGAGGCGCGAAGGCGUGGGGAGCAAACAGGAUUAGAUACCCUGGUAGUCCACGCAGUAAACGUUGAACACUAGGUGUAGCGGGUAUUGACCCCUGCUGUGCCGCAGCUAACGCAUUAAGUGUUCCGCCUGGGGAGUACGGCCGCAAGGCUAAAACUCAAAGGAAUUGACGG
Molecule: ribosomal RNA, 580 nt
Filed under: uncultured delta proteobacterium
Lineage: Bacteria; Deltaproteobacteria
Description: bacterial SSU rRNA
Rfam family: Bacterial small subunit ribosomal RNA
Source: RNAcentral